RNAcentral lists this long non-coding RNA (1131 nucleotides) under Androctonus crassicauda. Lineage: Eukaryota; Metazoa; Arthropoda; Arachnida; Scorpiones; Buthidae. The record is from RNAcentral.
CAUGGGCAAAUCAUACAAUGGUUUGAGUGAAAAAUAGUUUAGACACAUGCAAGGUGCAAUAGCUUUACUAUAUAAAAUGUGUAAUCCAGUAAAAUCACUGCACAAGAUAUAUAAAGGAUUUUUUCUAAAGAACAGAAGCUAAAUGAAUGCAUUUUGAAAUAUGUAUCUAUAAAGCAUGAUCUAUACUAGUGCUGUUAUUGAUAGAUACUUUGAACAAAAAAUACAGUUAGAUAUGAUGUAUAGUAUUUACACCAGAAAAUACAAAAUAAAAUUCCUUGACACAUUUUUUACUUUCACUAAUCUUUUGGAAAAAACAUGCCUAAUAGAAGACUUGUGCAAAGAAAAGAUCAAAAACAAAGUUGAAAGAAACAACAACAAAAGAAUUACUGCAGUUUUUUCCAUGAUGUGGGGCACUUUAAUGAAGAAUAUAGGAAAUUUGCAGCUAUCAAAGUCAGAAAAUUAAAACAGGCCAAUAAACAAUUGUAAAGUCUGACUGCUAGGAAAGAGAACUAAUUCUCAGAUUGCAUGCUACAAAUGUGAUAAACUGGGCAUAUUCAUGCUAUCCGCAUGUAUAUUCCUCCUUUAUACCACAUAAUGAUUCAUCUUCAUUAGACUUGUGUUUUAAAAUUAACAGAUGUUUUUCAAGUCAACCCAUUUCCAUGCCUAGUCAUGAAAAUCAGUGUAUUAGGUGCUAACGGUAUUGGGGUUGUUGAUACAGCUGCAAAAGUUAAUGUCGAUUUCUUAGUCAUUAUAUAAAGUUUUAUUAAUACGUUAAGUGUCUCGCAUAUCAAUUCCCACCUGUAAUUGUAUGCCAGCCAGUAUAGGUAUUCCUCAUGUAACAACCUACCUGUUUGACUGCUUAAACUUACAUCUGAGCUUACAACUAUUUUUUUUAACAGAAAACUUGGUUUUCACCAUGCAUGUUGCUUACAUUCUAUUGCAUGUAAUUUCCUGCACUCGUAAUUCCAAAAAUCUGAAGAAAAAUACUUUGUGCAUAAUUAAGAUAUAAAUGUCUUAUUAUAUAUGGGUAUGGUGUAUAUCCCGGAGUGUUUGUGGUUGGGUUGGAGUUUGAUAUUCUUUAUCAUGUGAUACGUGGCAUUGGGUCUGCUGUAUGGUAGUGUGAAGUUUUUC